RNAcentral lists this ribosomal RNA (416 nucleotides) under uncultured bacterium. RNAcentral's name for it is "bacterial SSU rRNA". It matches the Rfam family "Bacterial small subunit ribosomal RNA", at positions 39 to 487 of the family's 1533-position model. The record is from RNAcentral.
GGCCGCGGGAAUUCGAUUCAGGCCUAACACAUGCAAGUCGAACGAGACCUUCGGGUCUAGUGGCGCACGGGUGCGUAACGCGUGGGAACCUGCCUUUAGGUUCGGAAUAACUCAGAGAAAUUUGAGCUAAUACCGGAUGAUGUCUUCGGACCAAAGAUUUAUCGCCUUUAGAUGGGCCCGCGUUGGAUUAGCUAGUUGGUGGGGUAAAGGCCUACCAAGGCGACGAUCCAUAGCUGGUCUGAGAGGAUGAUCAGCCACACUGGGACUGAGACACGGCCCAGACUCCUACGGGAGGCAGCAGUGGGGAAUAUUGGACAAUGGGCGAAAGCCUGAUCCAGCAAUGCCGCGUGAGUGAUGGAGGCCUUAGGGUUGUAAAGCUCUUUUACCCGAGAUGAUAAUGACAGUAUCGGGGAGAA